Molecule: long non-coding RNA, 896 nt
Organism: Quercus lobata
Lineage: Eukaryota; Viridiplantae; Streptophyta; Magnoliopsida; Fagales; Fagaceae
Exons: 9
Source: RefSeq, a predicted model, not a curated record
UUCUGUCUAUCCACAUGGAUGAUCAAAUUGAUGGUAAAACCUUAAUGGGAAGUUAUGUUUGUACCGAGCAACCCGGUGAAUUUAGAUGGCAGCCCGGGUGACUUACCCAGGCUGUUCAGAAUGGAUUUUGGGUUGUAUUUGAGGAUGUUGACAAAGCACCAUCUGAUGUGCAAUCCAUCAUACUACCUUUGCUGGAAGGUGCAAAAUCAUUUUCAAAUGGGCAUGGGGAGGAAAUAAUGGUGGCAGAAAGUUUUUGACUAUUUUCCACAAUUUCAACUUCUAGAUUUGAUAUAUCACACAGUUCAGAAGGAAUACUAAUGGCUGUUUGAUUGGCAUGGUGGGAAUGGGUUUGAAGAAAUUCACCUAACCCUGCCUGUUGCCUUCCAAUGUGGAAAACUUGGUGUUUUUUGGAGGAAAAGUGAUGAUUGUGCCUCCAAGUAAGGAAGACUUGCAAAAUAUAAUAAAAGCCUGGUAUCCAAAUUUAGAGCCAAUUUCUGAGAAACUCAUAGGACCCUUUGAAAGGGUUAACUCUUCUCCUGUACAUCAACCAGCGGGAUUCCACCCCAGAAAUUCUGCUGUUAGUUUUCUCAGCAGAUUCUCAUUAAGGGAUCUUCUUAAAUGGUGCAAGCGAAUCUUAGGUUUAGGCUUUAGCUUCAAUGGAGAUGGUUUGUCAGCUUGUGAGUGUAAUUACUGAGAUAUGGGUUCCCCCUGUUGGUGACCUAAAUGAGCUUAAGAGUAUUGCUCUACAAAGAUUUUCCAACCUAAACCAAUCGCACAUUGUAGAUGCUAUGCUAAGUUUUUGGGAAGGUCUCUGAUUCUAGGAAUUGAAGUUGCCAUCAAAUUAUGAAGUUCUUCUUCGGAAAGUGUUCGAUGAUUGUACUAAGGUAUUGCUCUCU